Molecule: ribosomal RNA, 498 nt
Filed under: uncultured bacterium
Lineage: Bacteria
Description: partial 16S ribosomal RNA
Rfam family: Bacterial small subunit ribosomal RNA
Source: RNAcentral
AUUGAACGCUGGCGGCAUGCCUUACACAUGCAAGUCGAACGGUAACAGGUCUUCGGAUGCUGACGAGUGGCGAACGGGUGAGUAAUACAUCGGAACGUGCCUAGUAGUGGGGGAUAACUACUCGAAAGAGUGGCUAAUACCGCAUGAGAUCUACGGAUGAAAGCAGGGGAUCGCAAGACCUUGUGCUACUAGAGCGGCCGAUGGCAGAUUAGGGAGUUGGUGGGAUAAAAGCUUACCAAGCCGACGAUCUGUAGCUGGUCUGAGAGGACGAUCAGGCACACUGGGACUGAGAGACUGACAAGACUCCUACGGGAGGCAGCAGUGGGGAAUUGUGGACAAUGGGCGAAAGCCUGAUCCAGCAAUGCCGCGUGCAGGAUGAAGGCCUUCGGGUUGUAAACUGCUUUUGUACGGAACGAAAAGCCCUGGGUUAAUACCCUGGGGUCAUGACGGUACCGUAAGAAUAAGCACCGGCUAACUACGUGCCAGCCGCCGCCGUAA